Molecule: long non-coding RNA, 10361 nt
Filed under: Marmota monax (woodchuck)
Lineage: Eukaryota; Metazoa; Chordata; Mammalia; Rodentia; Sciuridae
Source: RNAcentral
CAUAGCAGAGAGUCUGCCUUCCAUGCUCAAGUCUUCAACAUGGUUGUCUGCAGAGAUGGGACUCUCAGUGAACUCACCAGCUGCUUCUUGCCUCUGCUGUUUCAGAUCCAGGUGACUGUUUGUGAAGUAAAAAAUGAGAUGUAGAAAACAGAAGGAGGAGAGAUUUGGGUGGGGGUUAGGUCAGUCAAUGAUCCUUGAAGCCAGAGGUGUCAAAUGAGGUCUAAUGCUUCAGGAGGAGAAAGGUGAAGAGGGAGUAAAUAUGGUAAACUUAAUUCAUCUCUGAGUAAUGUUAAGGAAAGUUGAAAGGAAGUCUGGGAGAAGGACAGCAGGAGUUUUGGUUGUGAGUCAUGGCAGCUUCCUCAGGAAUGUCUGAGUUAACUAAUGUAAAGUUGGAUGGGGCCUGUGUAAAAAAACUGAUAAGAGACAUUAGGAAGCAAGUUUUGCACUGCUCAAGUGAGUCCAGGAGGAGUGGCCUGUGGUAGGGGUAGUUAAAAUGACUUCCGAUGGGCCAUCCCAUUUUCCUUUUAAGGGGGCUCUGCAUUGAGGAGGGGAAAGGUAGACUAAGUCCCCUACUGAAAUAGGACUUCAUGAGUCUCUGAAGAUUGGAGCCGGGGAAGAUGAGUAUGGGCAUAUUUCCAGAGGGCAGCCCUAAGGUAAGCUAAGAAAGUUUUAAGAUAUCAAGAGGAACACUAGGUAAAUGAGGUUGAAUGAUGCGGGGAAGGAGGGGUCACUCAUACAUAAGUUCAAAAGGGCUGCUUAUGAGAGGUGUUUUUUGUUUGUUUGGUUGGUUGGUUGAUUUUUGGUGGAUUUUUGUUUUGUUUUGUUUUUUGCUUUUAGCAAUGCUCAGAUUUGGAGAAGGGCCAAAAGGCCAAAGCUCAGUCCAAUCCAAAUGAGUAUCUAUAGAUAAUUUGGUUAAGGUUGCCUUUGGUUCUAUUAGUCCUUUCAACUUUUCCUGGUUUCUAUGGAUGAUAUAUGGAAUGUGGAAGUUCCAUUUUAUAUUUAAAAUUUUAGCCAAUUCUUGGGUAAGAGAGGAAGUAAACUCAGGGCCAUUACUGGACUGGAGGCAGGCAGGUAAACCAAAGAGUGGAAUUAUUUCCUGGGAAAGUAGGGUUGCUAUUGUGAAAGCCCUCUUAUUGCUAGUUGGAAAAGUCUUGACCCAUCCAGUAAAUGUGUCUACCAAAGCCAGACUGAAGCACUUGCCUUGUGGAACUGAAUGCACUAUUGGAGAAUGUCCUGGGUCAAAGAGAUGCUCUUGAGUUAUUAAUCUCAGCUUUACAAAUCAAAGAUACAAAGGAAUCACACAACAUCUUACUACCAGGAAACCAUCUUGUCACUUACCAAAUCUAUUCUUCCAGAAUACCAUCCAAGACACACAAAAAAGACCAAACUGGUAUGAUAAAUACACAUAAAAUGAAAAGAUACAAUUGCUAUGUGAUACUACUCUCGGUAAUGUCUGUGAUGGGUGAAAGCACCUUUAGAAAAAGAUUAGUGUCUAAAGAUUCAAAAUGAAUCAACAGUAUUGGAUAACAAUUUAAUUCUCAACUCAGAAGCUAGCUCAAGAUUGGGGGCAUCUUUAGUUAAUGUAAUGUGACAGGAAAAGAAGGCCAUGGAUUUCAUUUUAUUAGUGGUAUUCACUCACAAUCGACCUAAGGUCACCAGAUAUGUAGACACAGUGAGAUUUUUGUUGUUGUUUAUAGUCUUUAAUUGAAGUGAUGAUAAAGGAAAUAGAUCUAUUUAACAACAAAACCAAAUUGCUAUUUCUGUCUACUUUAGGAGGUGGCCCCAGGUGUAGGAUUCACAUUUUGAGUGGCCACUUGUGGUGCAACAUUCUGAUGCCAAGCCUUGGCAUAACAGCUCCCAGAAACUGUUCAUCUUCUUGGAAGUGGUUCUCUUGCAAAGACUCCAGCAACUUCUGCAGGACAUCUUGGGGCACUUUGCAGCCUGUGCCCUUCAGUUCAGUAAACCUGGUUAACCGGAAGCUCUUAUCCAAUUCAUAACUUUCCGGGUUAAAGGACUUCCGUAUAGACAUGGUUCCUUACAGGUUAGCCCCUUCCCUCCCUCUCUCUUGUUUGGCUGGGAUUUUUACUUCUGAUCCACCUACCUCCAGGCCCGGCACGUGCAGAGGGGUGGACAUCGUGGCAUGUGCCCAGGAUCCAGGCGCUCUCCAUGAGGCCCAUGGCACAGGCAGCCCAUCCCCAAGGACUGCACUUGGAAUACCUUAAGUCUCAGGCUGCCAUCUUCAAAGGCACAACAGGCCCAUCCUGCUCUUUCUGUGGCACUAUGCUGCUGGAUGGUGGCAAAGGAGGAGAGGCACUGCCAGCUAAGCCCUGCCAACUCAGACCAUCCCAGGUGGAGCCGUGGGUGGUGGGAAGCCUGAGGGGUCCACAGGUGCUGGACUGGUACCUGCCGCCUACUGGACAGGCAGGGCGCCCAGGUCCAUCGGGCCUGUAGGGCUAGGUGCUGGUAGGUACUGUACCCAGACAGGGAGCUGGCUGUGCACAAAAAUGUUGGCAGACAAAAAAAAAUUAACCCCUGCGUGGCCACCCUCCCCCUCCACUCCUCCCCUGGUGCCUCAUUCUUGGUCUGUGGUUCCUGGCCUUGCUGGCCUUUUCUACUAUAAAAAUGCCCUUUACAGUGUAAGACUGUCUCCUUGUGGGGCAAAUUUUUAUGUAGCUAGUAUUAAAGGGGUUCUUGUCUGAGUUAGGGAGCCCCUCUCCCUCCAGAUUAAAAUGUUAGAAUAAAUAAUAUUGUAUACGUAUUUGGAAUCCAUAAAAUAUUGACUGAUUUUUCCCUAGCUAAUGAUAAAGCUUACAUGAGGGCUGUAAUGACACCCGCUUCCUUCACAGAAAAGUCUUACCUGGGCUUCUCUAGAAAUCUUCACCAUGGCUGAUUUUAGGACUGUCAGCAAAAGAGUCUCUACCAAAGAGUUCAAUGUAGAUAAACUUCCUAUUUUCAUGUUGCCCUGUUUUACUUGGCCACUGGCCAGGAAGAAAUCAGCACUCCAGGUGCUGGACACCCCCUUUACUAGUUUUUCACAAACAUGUAUCCAGUAUAGUAGUUUGUAGAAAUAUGCAAACAAAGCCUCUGACCUUGAGCUAUGCUUCACAAAGUGUGAUAAGGAAGACAGAUCCUUUUACAAAACCUCUGGCCUUGAGCCAGAGCUUCACAGAGAUGUCUACAUUUCUAAGAUAAGAGAAGUUAGCAACUGGGCUCCAUGGUAACAACUGUCAGGGGGAGGAAAGGAGGGGGAGAAGAAACUCUCCCCUUCUCAGGUGUUGUCCUUGAAGGGUUAACUUGCCCAAAACAGUGAAAGAAAAAAACUGCUUUUAUGGGAACUUCUGUGGACUGUGAACUUCUGAGACGCUCCCCUUUCAUGCUGGGUAUAAAAUUCUGGAACUACCUGAACUCAGGGUUCAGUGGGUUGAUUGAUUACAGCAAAAGCUGUGUCCUCUGAACCUGGCUGCAGCCAAUUAAAACUGUUUCCUGCUAUCUUCGGUGCCUUGCCUUGUCUGUCCCUGCAACAGGGCCACUAACUCAGCUUGCUGCGAGGUGGUCUCUGGGAAUAAGGGAGAUAAUUCUAAUAUCUGGGUAAGGAACAGAAGAAUCUGCUGUAAUUUUUCCUUGAAUUAUAGCAUAACCAGCAAGAUAAGGGGGAUGUUUCUGGGAGUUUCCAUGUAUGAACCAGUCAAGGGAGUAAGGUAAUUGCUGAUCCAUUAUGUGAGAAAAUGAACUCAUCAAAAAGUCCAGAAAGUCUGAACAAGAAUGAGAAAUUAUAGGAGCAGAGGGGUUUGUUGGGAGCAGAGUGCCUGGGUUUAGUGAGGAAUCUUGCUGGAAGGUAGUUAGGGGAUCCAGGAGUUGUGCGUGCAGUAAUUGGACUCCAGUUGGGGAAAGGGAUAAAAAUGAAUGAUGACUAAGGAGAUCUGAGAGGGAGUGUAUAGUAAGAACAGUAAUGGGUUAUAUAAUGUGAAUUUUCUUGGCUUGAGGAUCAUUAGAGCUGAUGUUGCUAAAAUCUUGAGGUGUUGGGGACAGCUUUGAUAAACUAAGUCGAAUUGUUUGGGUAGGAAUGCAAUAGGAUGGAGGUGGGGGUAUUGUCAUGGCACUCCCUCCUCUACAGAAAAUCUUUACUAAGCUUCUCCAGAAAUCUUCAUCAUAAUUGAUCUUAGGACUAUCAGCAGAAGAUCCUCUACAAAAUAGUUCAAUGUAGUUAAACUUCCUAUUUCCUAUUGCUCUAGCUUACUUGGUCACUGGCCUAGAUGUGAUCAGCACUCCAGUGCUGAACACCCCUUAACUAGUGUUUCACAAAGACUUACGGACUAUCUAGAAUGAGUAACAUAUAGAAUAGUUUGUAGAAGUGUGUUUGCAAAUGCAAAGUGUGAUAAGAUAGAUCCUUUAACUGGGCCUCUGGCCUUGAGCCAGAGCUUCACUGAGAUGUUUACAUUUCAAAUAUAAGAGAAGAUGUUAUUAAUUGGGCUCCAUGGUAACAGCUGACAGGGGGAGGAAAGAAUGUGGAGAAGAAGCUCUCCCCUUCUCAGGUGCUGUCCUUGAAGGGUGAACUUUCCCAGAACACAGUGAAAGAAAAACAGAGAUAGAUAAAUUGUGGUAUAAAGGUGUAUUAAGAAUUGUAAUGCAAAAAAAUAAUAAUAAUAAGAGAGCUCAUGUAUAAUGGCAUAAUUUGGUGUGAACAUACUUUAUAUACAGAGUUAUGAAAAACUGUGCUGUGGAUGGAUAAUUAUGAUUGCAAUGCAUUCCAUUAUUGUCAUGUAUGUAAGAAAUUUUAAAAAAAAAGAAAAGAAAAACCUGCUUUUGUGUAAACUUCUGGUGACUGUGAACUGUGAAGCCCUUUCUCUUACACACUGAGAAUAAGUUCUCAAACUGCCUGAACUCAGGGUUCAGGGGGAUUAAUUGAUUAUAGAAAAAGUUCUAUCCACUAAAUCUGGCUGCAGCCAAAUAAAACUGCUUCCUGCUGUCCUGGGUGUCCUGACUCAUCUGUCCCCUACAACAGUAUCUCCUGACUUCUGGUAAAUAAUUCCCAAAGCUUAUUUGUGUUCUGAGUUGAGGGCCAGGAAAAAGGGAUUAUUGGGGUUUGGUAUAUAAAUAAUUGAAAAUUUGGGCUGGGAGUAUUAGUUCAGUUGGUAGAGUGCUUGCCUUGCAUGCACAAGGCCCUGGGUUAAAGCCCAGUACAAAAAAACCAAAAAAACAAAAAACUGAAGAUUUUAGGAAGGAAUUAUGAAGGGCAGAAAUGGUAGAGGAAAAAGAAUGGGGAGAUGGAAGGGAAUCUGAAAGAUUUCCCUUGGAUGCCUCAUAAAGAGGUUUGGCUAUGAGGGAGAAUUUUGAUGUCCAGAUAUGAGAGUAGUUUAAAAGGCCUAAGAGGACAGCAUGUCUCUUUUGGUGGUUGGUAGGGGAAUGGCCUUUAAGGCUUGGAGUCUCUCUGGGGGAAUAUUAUAGGAGGUGUGGGUUAAAGGAUACCUCAAUAUUGUACCCAAGAGGAGCAGAGUUGGGCCUUAGACUGAGAAACCUGAUACCCCAGAGGGCCAGGGAGUUAAGAAGGGUGAUAGCGUAACAUGUGGGAUAUUCUAGUGAAGGCCUACAGAGCAGGAGGUCAUCUACAUACUGUAUAAGAUGGCUAGAGAAUAAAUUUAGGUAACCAGGUCGAGUUGGAGAGCUUGGCCAAAGUGGUGGGGGCUAUCUCAGAAGACAUGUGGGAGGAUGGUCCAGUUGAGCUGCUCCAAGUAGUUAGUGUCUGGGUCUAUCCAAGUAAAGGCAAAAAGUGGGCAUGAGUCUGGAUCAAGAGGAAUAGUAAAGAAGGCCUCUUCCAGUCUCAUACUGAGAAAUGUGUGGUGGAGGUUGAGAUAUGAGAUAAAAGGGUGUCAGUGUUGGACACUACAGGGUAUGUGGGAACAAUGGCCACAUGAGCCAUAGCUGGCCAUUGGAUUUCUUUACUCCAAGAAUGGGCGAGUUAUGAAGUGAGGUGUUUGGUAUAAGAAGUUUGCCCUGCAAUAACUGGGAGAUGAUGGGCUUUAAACCUCUGAGGGUUAAGGGAGUUAGAGGAUAUUGGGGAAGGAUUACAUAAUGGAUGGUGUCUCUUAACUGGAUAUGAAUCAGGGAAUGAUGUCUUGUUAUUGUAGGUUGUGAAGUAUCCCAGACUGUGGGGUUAAUCACAGAAAGUAAAGAACAAUCAAAAGGCUUAGGGGGGUUCCAGGACAUGGUCUGGUGUCAGGGCACAUGACUAAACUAAUCAAGGUCACUCCAAGUGAAUGUGGGGACUAAAUAAAGACACAGACACAGAAAGUACCUUUUCUUUGGGUUCAGUGACCGCUUCUCAGCCACAGCUCCCACAAGGGGGGCAAGGCAGGCAAGAAAAAGAAGGAGCAUGCCUUGAACUUGGGUUUUAUUGGAGAGAAGCCAUUCAAAUGAGGCAAGGGGCCAAGUUUCAGGGGGUUAGUCUAGCUAACUGAUGUCUGGCUGUCAGCAGAUUGACAUCUUGGAAGAUCAUGCCCAUCUCAUGUGCUGCUGUGUGAUAAUCAAAGGCAGAGCAAGCGAAAGGGACACAUAUGUGCACAGCCCAGACAGAGCACCAGCAUCAGUCCAGUUCACUUUGUGCACUCAAAAUGCUCACAGCUCACACACACAGCCUAUGCCUGUCUCGCCACAUCUCCCCCUUUCGUAACUUAUAAAUGCAAUUGGGGAAUUAUAUCUUCCAGUCAUUGGAUUCUUGGUCCGAGGCCGUUGUAGCCUACUAUUGAGACACAAAAAGGAUUAGUACAAAAAAAAUUCCAAUAACACAUCAUAUAGAAUGUUUCAACAUAUUUUUAGAAUUAAAGACACUUAAUUAACUUCAAAGGACCCAGGUAUUAUUAUUAUUACUCUGCCAAGCACUCGUCAGAAGAUUAUUAAUCUUUUCCCAAUUUUAUUGGGAAGCAUUGUAUUUGGUCAUAGUAACACAGACAUAUUUAUAGUCAGCAUGGCAUUCAAACCUUUCCUAAAACCAAAGAGCAGAGGGCUCAUUAUUCAUUAUAGUGGCUUCUCGAGUGUGCAAUGUAGUUCCAAUUUUUCCAUCAGCACUUAUUUGACUAUGAAGAAUCUUGGAAGUAAUUUAAGUCAAAUUAUUAAGAAAAUUUAUAUUUUGUAGCUUUUAAAACAUAGCCAUAAAGGCUGUAAUUGUAGAAACAAUGAAAUAUUUAAAGUAGUCACUUCAAGAAUCAUGAGAUCAAGAGUUUGCACAGGCUAUUGUGAAUAAAGUAGUUUUCCUAAUUUCUCUUUCAGUGGAUUCUUCACUGCUACACAGGAAUCCUUUUGAUUUAUGGGUGUUGAUUUUAUAUCCUGUUACUUUGCUGAAUUCAUUUAUUUGUUCUAGAAGUUUUCUGGUGGAAUUUUUUGAAUCUCCUAGAUAUAGAAUCAUGUCAUCAGCAAUUAGUGAUAUUUUAAGUUCUUCUUUAUCUAUUUGUAUCCAUUUAAUUUCUUUUUAUUUUCUUCUAUCUAAUUGCUCUGGCUAGAAUUUCAAGGAUGAUAAUGAAUAGAAGUGGUGAAAGAGGAAUCCUGUCUUAUUCCAGUUUUUAGCGGGAAUGUUUUCAAUGUUUCUUCAUUUAGAAUGAUGCUGACCUUAGGUUUAGCAUAUAUAGCUUUUACACUGCUGAGGUAUAUUCCUACUAUCCCUAGUUUUUCUAGUGUUUUGAACAUGAAGGUGUGCUUUGUUUUGUCAAAUGCUUUUUCUGCAUUUAUUGAGAUAAUCAUAUGAUUCUUGUUCUUAAGUCUAUUAAUAUCAUAUAUUAUGUUUAUUGAUUUCCAUAUGUUGAACCAACCCUGCAUCCCUGGGUUGAAUCCCACUUGAUCAUAUCUUUUUAAUAUGUUUUUGUAUACAAUUUGCAGAAUUUUAUUGAAAAUUUUUGCCUCUAGGUUCAACAGGGAUAUUGGUCUGAAGUUUUCUUUCCUUGAUGGGUCUUUUUCUGGUUUUGGUAUUAGGGUGAUAUUAGCCUUGUAGAAUGAGUUUGGAAGGAUUCCCUCCUUUUCUUUUUCAUGGAAUACUUUGAGGAGUUUUGGUGUUAAUUCUUCUUUGAAAGUGUUAUAGAACUCGGCUAAGAAUCCAUCUGGUUCUGGCUUUUCUUGGUUGGUAAGCUUUUGAUGGCAUUUUUUAUUUCAUUAUUUGAAAUUGAUCUAUUUAAAUCAUGUAUGGCCUCCUUAUUUAGUUUGGGUAGGUCAUAUGCUUCUAGAAAUUUUUCAAUGUUUUUGAUAUUUUCUAUUUUAUUAGAGUAUAAAUUUUCAAAAUAGUUUCUUUUAUUACCUUUAUUAUCUUUUAUUAUUAUCUUUAUUUUAUUAUUAAUUAUCUUCUGUAUUUCAGAUGUGUCCGUUGUGGUAUUUCCUUCUUCGUCCUGUAUUUUAGUAAUUUGAGUUUUAUCUCUUUUUCUCUUUGUUAGCAUGGCCAGGGGUUUAUCUAUUUUAUUUAUUUUUUCAAAGAAUCACCUUUUUGUUUCGUCAAUUUUUCUAAUCAUUUCUUUUGUUUCAAUUUCAUUGAUUUCAGUUCUGAUUUUAAUUAUUUCCUGUCUUCUACUGCUUUUGGUAUUGAUUUGUUCUUCUUUCUAUAGGGCUUUAAAAUGCCUGGGAAUCAAUCUAACAAAAGGAGUGAAAAUCAUCUACAAUGAAAACUACAGAACAUUAAAGAAAGAAAUUUAAGAAAACCUCAUAAGAUGGAAAGAUCUCCCAUGCUCCUGGAUAGGCGGAAUUAAUAUUGUCAAAAUGGCCAUACUACUAAAAGUGUUAUACAGAUUUAAUGCACUUCCUAUUAAAAUUCCAAUGACAUUCUUCAUCGAAUUAGAAAAAGCAAUCAUUACAUUUAUUUGGAAAACUAAGAGAUCCAGAAUAGCUAAAGCAAUCCUUAGCAAGAAGUGAAGCAGGAAGCUUCAUUGCCAGACCUUAAACUAUACUACAGAGCUAUACUAACAAAAACAGCAUAGUAUUGGCACCAAAAUAGACUUGUAGACCAAUGGUACAGAAUAGAGGACACAGAGACAUACCCAAGUAAAUAUGGUUAUGUCAUACUAGACAAAGGUGCCAAAAACAUUCACUGGAGAAAAGAUAGUCUAUUCAAUAAAUGGUACUGGCAAAACUGGAAAUCCAUAUGUAGCAAAAUGAAAUUAAACCUCUAUCCCUCACCCUGCACAAAAAUCAACUCAAAGUGGAUCAAAGACUUAGGUACUAAAACAGAGACCUUGCACAUAUCAGAAGAAAAAAUAGGCCCAAAUCGUCACCACAUCAGCCUAGGAUCUGACUUCCUUAACAAGACUCCUAAAGCACAAGAAGUAAAAUCAAGAAUUAUUAAAUGGGAUGGAUUCAAAUUAAAGAGCUUUUCCUCAGCAAAGGAAACAAUAAAGUGAGGGAAGCGCUUACAGAUUGGGAGAAAAUCUUUACCACAUCCACCUCCAAUAAAGCAUUAAUCUCUAGGAUAUAUAAACAACUCAAAAUUUUUAGCACCAAAAAAAUAAUAAUAAUAACCCAAUCAAUAAAUGGGCUAAGGAACUGAAUGGUCACUUUACAGAAGAAGAAAUACAAAUGAACAAUAAAUGUAUGGAAAAGUGUUCAGCAUCUCUAGUACUUAGAGAAAUGCAAAUCAAAACUACUCUAAGAUUUCAUCUCACUCCUAUUAGAAUGGCAAACAUCAAGAAUACAGGCAACAAUAAAUGUUGCCGAGGAUGUGGGGGAAAAAGGUACACUUAUACAUUACUGGUGGGACUGCAAAUUAGUGCAACCACUAUGGAAAGUGGAGAUUCCUCAAAAAAUUGUGACUGGAACCACCAUUUAACCCAGCUAUCCCAUUCCUUGGUUUAUACCCAAAGGACUUAAAAUUAGCAUACUAUAGUGACUCAGCCACAUCAAUGCUUACAGCAGCUCAAUUCACAAUAGCUAGACUAUGGAACCAACCUAGGUGUCCCUGAAUAGAUGAAUGAAUAAAGAAAAUAUGGCAUAUAUACUCAACAUAUACUCAGCUUUAAAGAAGAGUAAAAAUACAGAAUUUGCCAGUAAAUGGUUGGAGUUGGAGAAUAUCAUGCUAAGCGAAAUAAGCCAAUCCCAAAAAACCAAAGGCAGAAUGUUUUCUCUAAUAUGCGGAUGCUAAUUCACAAUAAGGCAGGGGUCACUAGGGAAGAAUAUUGUUACCUUAGAUUAGGCAGAGGGAAGUGAUGAGAGGGGAGGGGUGGGGAUGUAAGGAUAGGAAAGAUAUUAGAAUGAAACAGACCACAUUACUGUUUGUAUAUAUGUGACUGCAUGCCCAAUAUGGUUCUGCAACAUGUACACUCAGAAAAAUGAUGUUAUAUCCUAUCCAUGUAUAUCAAAGUGCAUAAAUGCAUUCUAUUGUCAUGUAAAACUAAUUA